Molecule: long non-coding RNA, 1510 nt
Filed under: Helianthus annuus (common sunflower)
Lineage: Eukaryota; Viridiplantae; Streptophyta; Magnoliopsida; Asterales; Asteraceae
Description: hypothetical non coding rna
Source: RNAcentral
AUCCACUUCACCUCGAUCUCAUUUUGGUCAGAACCCGUUUAGACAUGGACCAAAUCGAUAUAUUAUAUUAAAAACGACCCGUUCUAACCCAUUACUUGACCUGACCCACCCAUUUUGCCAUGGUUUGGUUAUAGGCUCAUGAUGUCACAUUUGUCAGUGUCGUAGCUAGGCAUUGAUUUGAUCAGUCACGAUUACAUAAACUAUGUUUGUGUGCAUUUUAGUACCUUAAUGCUCUCCUGAAACUGUAGAGGGAUGUCUUUCUGGUACGUUUCCGAGAGUUUAAAGUAUAAUACGAGGCUCACACCUUCACCGUCGCUGUCACUAAGGAACAUUUGAGCAGCAUAACCAGGUAACUGUAACAACCACAUAUACAUAACAUUAAAGUUUACAUUAUGCAAUGUCUCAAUAGUCAAGACUUCUCUUAAAUCAAGUCACCUUUUAAAUAAUAAAUAAAAAUCCAAACCUGAAUAUUGACAAUGAGAAGAGGUGGCAAUUUCUCAUCACCUUUUAACGAAGGAAGCUCGAUGUAUUUCGCAAUGUGGUUGAUUUUUUUCGUGCACGCAAACAGAUCUACACCAAAUGGAAUGUAUGGGGAAUAACUUGGAGCAGGUUUUUUCGACUUAUCUCUGCACAUAUGACACUUGAUCAGGUUAUAGUUACAUAAAAAAAUUAAUUCAAUCUAAAAUACAUAUUUAAGUUCUAAAAUAAACUUUCAACAAUUUAAUUUAAUGCAUUAAAAAACCGGGGUCUGAAAAGACACAGCCGGCCCAAGACUGGCCUUGGGCCGAGUGGCGCCUCUCUAAAAUGAUUAAUUUUUGAAAAGGGAAUUUGAGAUGGGAUACCUUAAAUAGUUUUCACUUCUGAGAGUGAAACUUGACGGGUCAAUAGCAGACCAACAUCCACGAGUCGGCUUCUCAUCCGUACAACAUGGAAUCAAGAAUCCUGCUCCGGGUCGGUAAAAAAACUUUUCUGUAGCACCUGCAUUUCAUUUCACAUAUUUAGACAUUAAGUUUUCUUCAAACCCGAAGCCACAAGAGUAAUGUUUUAUACGUACGGGUUCCAUUGAGAUCCUCUUCGGCUCUCUUCACUGCAAGCUUAAUAACAGUGGGCUUUCUUGUCUGAUUCUGUGAGCCUGAAUUUGAUGUGUUAGUGAUUUUAUCAUUGAAACUAGCAGAAUGAAACAAGUGGGGCCCACCAGGCUUCAAGAUCCGGGCUGGAUUUUUAUCACCGUUGUAGCUACUAUAACUACGUCUGAACUUGUUUGAUGGGCUUAAAUCACCAUCAUGUUCAUGGAACUAAGAUCAUUCUCCAAAUUUGGAUCAUCGUCUUUAACCAACGAAACAAAGUAGACAUGAAUACAAUUAGUUAUGCAAUAUUUCACUUUUAAAGUUGGUCAGACGGGUUGGGUAACAGUAUUGCGUGAGACAAGGUGAAAAUUCUAAAAAUGUACCGUUUGAAUCAAUCUGACUGCUAUGUAAAUCCAUCUGAGUGGGUUCAUGAGUACAUUUAG